CCCUGUCCUGACCCUGCCAUGGGCACCAGACUCCUCUGCUGCGUGGCCCUCUGUCUCCUGGGGGCAGGUCACACAGGAGCUGGUGUCCUCCAGUCCCCCCGGCACAAGGUCACAAAGAGGGGCCGGGACGUGGACCUCAGGUGUGACCCAAUUUCUGGUCAUGUUGGCCUCUACUGGUACCGACAGGCCGUGGGGCAAGGCCCGGAGUUUCUCGUUUCCUUCCAAAACGAGGACAAAGUAGACUCCUCAGGGAUGCCCAGCAACGAUCGGUUCCAGGUGAACAGGUCCGAGGGGUCCUACUCCAUUCUGCAGAUCCAGCGUGCGGAGCCGGGGGACUCAGCUGUGUACCUCUGUGCCAGCAGCCCUACCACAGUGGGGCACAGCCACCUCCUUCCUCUUCACCAACCUCAGACUUCUCUCUCCCUGCACCUGAAGACCGUAAACAGGCUGUCCCUACUCAUCGUUCCCCAAUCACAAGAAGUAGAUUUGGAUAUCAGCUCUCAGCUGUCCUUGGGUAGAAAAAGACACUAAACUCCUGAAGGGAAUGUAAAUGAGGGUGGAUCAAAUAAUUAUGGCCCAUAGGGUUGGAAGACUCCCAGGGCUGGCUCCGGGCUCCAAGGCCAGGACUGAACAACAGGGACACAGUGGUCCUUCUGCAAGACCUGAGGCUUUCCGUGUAGUGGGCGGUGCCUCCUUCUCUGCAUUUGUGGUGCCAUCUGGGAAGUUUGUGUCAUUCUUGACAUAUUCUUACUUCUUUUUUUUUUUCAUUAUUAAUUAUGUAUUUUGAGAGAAAGAGAGAGAGAGACCAUGGAGGGGCAGAGAAUGAGGGAGAGAC
Non-coding RNA from Felis catus (domestic cat), 835 nucleotides. The record is from the annotation of a RefSeq genome assembly. NCBI's taxonomy places the organism in Eukaryota, Metazoa, Chordata, Mammalia, Carnivora, Felidae.